AAAACAGUCUCUUGGGGAUUUUGUUAAAAUGUAGCUUCUAACUCUGGGUUUGUCGGAGGUUCUGAGAUUCUUCAUUUCUAACAAGCUCCCAGAGGAUGCUCAU
RNAcentral lists this microRNA precursor (103 nucleotides) under Marmota monax (woodchuck). The record is from RNAcentral. Lineage: Eukaryota; Metazoa; Chordata; Mammalia; Rodentia; Sciuridae.